UGCCAGCAGCCGCGGUAAUACGGAGGGUGCGAGCGUUAAUCGGAAUUACUGGGCGUAAAGGGCGCGUAGGCGGUUCGAAUAGUCGGGUGUGAAAGCCCCGGGCUUAACCUGGGAAUUGCAUUCGAUACUGUCGGGCUAGAGUGCGGUAGAGGGAAGCGGAAUUCCGGGUGUAGCGGUGAAAUGCGUAGAUAUCCGGAGGAACACCAGUGGCGAAGGCGGCUUCCUGGACUGACACUGACGCUGAGGCGCGAAAGCGUGGGGAGCAAACAGGAUUAGAUA
Molecule: ribosomal RNA, 279 nt
Filed under: uncultured bacterium
Lineage: Bacteria
Description: partial 16S ribosomal RNA
Rfam family: Bacterial small subunit ribosomal RNA
Source: RNAcentral